UACGCUUGAAUCUUCAGGUUCGUUUUCGCAACGACGGGCAGCUCCGACCAGAUGACGUGCAAAUUGGAAAUUUCAAGAAUCUGGACAGAAAGACCCUAUGAAGCUUGACUGUAGCUUGGAAUUGGGUUCGGGCUCUUCUUGCGCAGCCUAGGUGGGAGGCUAUGAAGGUAGACUUUUGGGUUUACUGGAGCCAACAGUGAGAGACCACUCUGGGAGAGCUAGAAUUCUAAUGGCGUUCUUUGAAGCAAGACGCUUGACAGUUUCAGGUGGGCAGUUUGACUGGGGCAGUCACCUCCUAAAAGGUAACGGAGGUGUGCAAAGGUUCCCUCAGGCUGGACGGAAAUCAGCCGUAGAGUGUAAAGGCAGAAGGGAGCUUGACUGCAAGACCUACAAGUCGAGCAGGGGCGAAAGCCGGCCUUACC
Molecule: ribosomal RNA, 422 nt
Filed under: Chlorella sp. IR02
Lineage: Eukaryota; Viridiplantae; Chlorophyta; Trebouxiophyceae; Chlorellales; Chlorellaceae
Description: bacterial LSU rRNA
Rfam family: Bacterial large subunit ribosomal RNA (bases 81-422)
Source: RNAcentral